CAGGGGCCUCGUGCCCGCCCCUCUUGGGGCCUCCGCCGCCUCACGAGGAGGGAGAGGAAGGGAGGACUGGAAAACCCGAGUUUGGAAUUAAGGAAACGUGCUACCUGGGGGACCGGAUCGGCAACACGCAAAAAGCCACUGACCUGUGAGAACAGUACCUGAAGACAAGUGCCUCAGGUCGUUUCAGGACAGAAACAGAUUCAGCAGAGAAGGAAGAGGCCCGAUCCCACGGACUGCUCGCAUCAGCUUGGAAUGAGCUUGCCUUCUGAAGGACAGCCGAGGACCAGGUCCUGCUGCAGCAGAGGAGCCAAGCAGAACCUGUCUGGCUCAAGCCGUGACGGAGCCAGAUCCAGAGAAAACACCAGAGCCAGAGAGCUAGGAAGGCCUGAUUCUCCGGGGGAGCUCGGCGUUCAGGCGGGCCUCCGGCCGUUCUGGAGAAGAUUGCCUUCGGAUUUCCUGACUUGGGAGUCAGCAGUGGAGCUUGCUGAAAGUUUCCCCAGGUCCAAGGUGGAGCACUCCCAAGACCGUGUCUACGUCGCGGGGGAACCACACCAACCCUCAUCCGGGUGACUAAGAGUUCUCAAGUCUUCGCGCGAGGAGAUAUUCAAGUAACUGAAUAAUGGAAAAAGAAGAAACUGUACUUCAGCAGCCCCCAGUCUAAGACAUUUCAAGCCGCACACGGGAUGGUUUGAGCAGGGCGAACACGGCAUUGGAACUUGGCUGCGUCUCACACCCCGGAGCAAGGAGAAACCCGUGGACGAAAGGAUACCCUUCUUCGCCACCAGCAGGUAACCACCCCAGCAGGCCGCCCUCAGCCUGUCCUCCGCUGGCCAGGAAAUUCCCGCGCUGCUCAGCCUCUCACAGAGACCUCUCCGGAGACUCACCAACUGCUGAAAGGUUCGUUUCUCACCGUGAGCCCGCCCGGCGGGGGCCGGCAAACGAGCCGCCCAAAGGUACAGCCAAGUGAGGCGGAGGGCGGGCCCGGCCUCAGAGCCAGCCGGCCUUCUGCUCUGCUGCCCUCCGCUCUCCGUCCCCGCCCGCGGCCCGCCCAGUCCUGGACGCUGGAAGUGUGAGGACUGCCCGUUUUCCAGGCUGCUGUAGACACUGUGGACCACCCCCUUCUCCUCCACGCACUA
Molecule: long non-coding RNA, 1136 nt
Organism: Tachyglossus aculeatus (Australian echidna)
Lineage: Eukaryota; Metazoa; Chordata; Mammalia; Monotremata; Tachyglossidae
Exons: 9
Source: RefSeq, a predicted model, not a curated record